AUCUCUGUAGAGUCUGCAUAUCAAUAAGCGGAGGAAAAGAAACUAACAAGGAUUCCCUUAGUAACGGCGAGUGAAGCGGGAAGAGCUCAAAUUUGAAAUCUCCAAGGUUCUACCUUGACGAAUUGUAGUUUAAAGAAGUGUUUUCUGUUGGUGUUUUGGUAAAAGUUCUCUGGAAUAGGACAUCAUAGAGGGUGAGAAUCCCGUAUUUGGUCAUUCCUUCUAGCUUUGUGAUACACUUUCAAAGAGUCGGAUUGUUUGGGAAUGCAGUCCAAAAUGGGUGGUAAAUUUCAUCUAAAGCUAAAUAUUGGCGAGAGACCGAUAGCGAACAAGAACCGUGAGGGAAAGAUGAAAAGAACUUUGAAAAGAGAGUUAAACAGUACGUGAAAUUGUCAAAAGGGAAGCGUUUGUCACCAGUGUUGUUUUUCCGAAAAUCAAUUAUAAAUGUUUUGUUUCUGAGGAGUGAUGACUUCAUCGGCUUCCUUCUCUCUUCACGAAACUUUUGUAAUGCACUUUUCGGUUAACAAGUCAACAUCAAUUUCUUUUGUUGUAAAAGAGUAUUCGGAAGGUGGCUUUCUUUUCGGAGAAAGUGUUUAUAGCCCUAUACUUCUACAAUCGGAGAGAUUGAGGUCUGCAGCGUAGAUCCUUCGGGGUUAGAUACAUUUGUGCUAAGUUAUAGCUUUUCAUAGACGACUUGUUGGCUAUGUUUAGUCUUGUAGCUUACUCGCUUAUGCUAUUUUACCUACGCUUAGGAUGUUGACUGAUAUGUAGUCGUA
RNAcentral lists this ribosomal RNA (773 nucleotides) under uncultured Neocallimastigales. Its description in RNAcentral is "partial large subunit ribosomal RNA". It matches the Rfam family "Eukaryotic large subunit ribosomal RNA", at positions 24 to 644 of the family's 3401-position model. The record is from RNAcentral. Lineage: Eukaryota; Fungi; Neocallimastigomycota; Neocallimastigomycetes; Neocallimastigales.